ACUGACAUUAAAGCCAUGAUGAGCAUUUCUUUCGUCAUUGUGCUCCUGGGAUAGUUUUUGAUAAGCUUGAGCUUUGAGAAUGUUCUCUCACAUGACGCAAUGGAAGUGGCCAGAGUUAGCGGUUUUCGGAGGAGGUUGCAAGGUUUGAGCACACGUAAUUACCAUAUGAAGCCUGUUGGUGUCUUGGUUCAAGAAGAAACCCAAAGGUAUCCAUUUUCUUUCCAGCCUUUGUAAUCUGCCCUUCAUCUCCAUAUGAAAUCUGUGCAGUACUUCUGUCGCAACACGUUUGAAUUGCAGUUCUAUUGGCAGUCCUAUAUUAGAACUCAACUUCCCAUCAAGUCUUUUCUUUCUUCUGGUUGUUUUGAUUACAGGGAAUCCAUAGUAUUCACUACCUUCUUUUGUUUUUUCGAGGGAUUGGGUUUUUGUAAGUUUCUCACCAUUUUGCAGAAAGCAUGAAGGGUACUAAUUUCUUCAGCAGCUUCCCGUAUGUGCAGUCCAGACUUUUGUAGUUUCUUCUGAACUAUAUUAGGAGCUUUGACCAGAAUUCCAGAUAGGCAAGAAAUUCUUAAUCUUCCACUGCAUGAAGAAGAUUCUGUGCUAAUAUUAUAUGAUAUUACAGUGGCGUAAAUAGGGUGUUUGAUGCCCAGUGCGGCCUCUCCUAAUGAUGCCCCCCCCCCCUCUGAUAUAAAACAGCGAAAACACGUUAUUAUACGUUAACAAAAUAUACUACAAAUAAAUAUUUCGAGCUUUCUUGGUCGCAAAACUAUCAAUAAUUUUAAUGAAAUCAUUUUUCCACCAAUUGACUUGUUAGUGAAACGCAUCGCUGAUUGCUAUUAAUUCUUGAUCAACUUAAUUAAGUCGGAAAAACUUCGCUCGCAUAAAGCCACACUUACCGCAAUUGUCAGAAAUAUGUUAAAAUCUGAUAAUGCUACCUGAAGAGAAUCUUGGACAUGAUUUUAUUUCUCUCAAAGCAUAAUCUGGCAUUCAAUAGGCAUCACGAAUAUUUAGACAAUAUUUAGAGCUGAAUCAUUUUGUGGCAUUCUAGCUGAUAUCUUUUUUUUUCGCUUGGCUUAUUUUUAUUGUAGUCAAUAUGUCUUUGAUAUUCUGCACUAAUCCUCAGAUCAGAGCACUUUUGCUGAUAGUAAUAAUGGCUUCGGCGUUGCCCUUCCAAUUAGAAAAUUAAGAAUGCAUAGCAACUAGCGAUCCGCCUACUUAAGAGAUUUUGUCUUUACAAUUGUUCUUCAACUCGUUUGUGAUGACCAUUGAGGGCCAGAUUCUGCUUUGAGAGAAAAGGAAUCCAAGAUUCAUUUCAUUAUCAGAAUUUUACCUUUAGGACCCUUUGAUCACUGCCGUCAACCAUUUUAAAUAGAGAAGACAAUUUCUCCAUCUAAGCUAGCACUAUAAGCGCCAGCCAGACUUAUCAACUUGAGCAGCGCCCAUAAUAUUAACAGUGGCAAAAUAAAUCAAUUUUGUAAAUCAAAUACAGUAGUUUGUUCAUGUGUGCGGUUUUUACUGAAAAAUGUUGUGCUCAGUUUGAUGCCCCGUGCGGCCCGCACCACACACACAUGGCUAGCUACACCACUGUGAUAUUACAUCAUUGUUGGUUGUUUAUGUUUCGUGCAAAAGCAUUCAAACCAUAAUUAGUAAAGAUUCAUUUCUCGCUAUGCCCGAGUAUAGAAAUACUCCGAUAAGCGGACUGCCGUAUUCACAAUCACAACUGCUGAUGAGUAGAAGACUCAGGAAAAUCAUUCCAACUGAUCCCAAACUAUUGAAACCAUCGGUAGCUGAAAAAGCGAGACAUUACUCAACGAACGAUAGAUUAAAAGCAAAGUGAAAUACGAUGCAAAAGCAAGACUACCUAAAGAUUACUCGCUUUUUGAACAAGAGUUUCGAUGAAGACAUCUCUGGGUACUAUGAUAACGAUGAAGACAAUGAACAGCAAACUGUUGGAACAAACGAAACAGACAGUUAUAGACCAACGUCUAGAAAACUUGUGCCAGUCAAGUCAACCAAAAGUGGUCGAAUUGUUAAAAUUCCUAGUAGAACUUUAAAAGGAAGGAUGUGCUAUAGACUAUAUAUAUAUAUAAUAUACAGGACUGCCAACUGUGCGCACCACGCCUAUAUUUUUCAAUUAAAUAAGUCCCGUACACCGAGGCGUCCUUUGUUGCAGCCCAGUUGCAGGGUAGUGUUAGUAGAAUGACUUCCGGUGAAUUAGUUUACAAUAUAAAGAAGCCAUCACUAAAUAUUUUAAUCACCACUUUUACACCAAAUGAUGAAUGGAAACUCAAUUGUCAUCGAAGAUUUUUCAGAGUGUUUCAGAUAAUGAAUUUUGAUAAUUUUGUUGUCAAAAUGUUUCAUCUAUGAUAGGAGCUAGGUAAGUUUUUUUUAUAUUAUUAAACUAAUAGUUUUUAAAAAAUAUUAAUCAGAAUAAUGUUUUGGUGACCCCAAAUUUGGUACACAUGCACAAAUAAGAUUACCAGACACUGAUAACACAAGAACACUUUUGUUUCCUUGGCAAUUAAAUCAUUGAAUACAAAGUAACUUCACAUGUAAUAUUUAGUUUUCUAUUGUUAUAUUUAGUUAAUGUAAACAUUUCAACAUUGAUAAAAAGAUAUAUUAUUAAACAAGAUUGCAAUUAGGCUUUAACACUAUUCUGCAUUUUCUUUCCAUGGUCCUUGCCAAUAUAUUGAAACUCCAUGAGUUGAGUAGAUCUGAUGGAAAGUUUUUUAACCCAGCUCAGCCUAAAGCCAAAAACAAAAAACAGUAUAUCCUGAACUACUGUUUGCUGCUGCUGCACUCACCUCCAUUUAUAAGCAGGAUUUCAAAGGUUUGUGAAUUGUUUGGCAACUGCAUUGUCAAGAACUCAGCCUUACAAUUAGUCUCACCAAAACUAAAUUUCUAUCACAGAAAUACAAGAGUUAAGCAUUAAAAAUCACACCCUUACAGUGCUGCAAGAAUUUACCUACAUGGGAUCAAUUUUUGUUAGAAAACAAAAAUAUAGACAACAAAGUAACAAAACGGAUUGAAAAGGCCUCUGCAGCCAUAAUGAAACUCUCUAAAGUCAAAAUAUAUCAAAUUGACCAGGCAAUCAAAAUUCUAGUCUACAAUGCCUGUGCAUUAAACAAUAUAGAAGUGAAAUAAUGUCUCCAAACUGUUUUAAGUAGGAAACUUUGAAAUAGGCCAAUACACAAGUGAAGACUAUGUUGGCUUGGACAUGUCACCCGUUAGUUUGGGACUUGGACAUGUCACCCACAUGCCAGACAAAAACCAGACACAAGAAGGACAUCCAAGACUAACCUAAGGAGAUGUCCGCAAGAAGAAUCUUUAGACUACAGUUAUCAGACAAUGAAAGGCAUGGAGACAGUUUGCCUUCUGGAACGACCUUUGCAGAAAGCAAAAGAGCUGUGGUGGCCAUAGACGAGAAAGAGGAAGACAGCUUCUCAAUUCAUCAAGGUGCAUCCAUAGUCUUUUGAGACACAAGUAGCUUUAUAAUCUGUUACAAUUACACCUAAGUAUUUAGAAUGCAGUUGUACAGAUGUUCUUGUUUUUUUUUGUUUUUUUUUUUUCAAACUAGUUAUUCCAUAACAAUUCAAACAUUCACUUAUCUAAUAUAUAAAGCAAAUUGUAAGGAGCAUGUAUGCAUGUCCCAAAUAAAAAUCAAAACCGUUUGACCAAUCUUGGCAUUUACUUCGCAUAAAUGAUCCUUAGAUCAUGGCGGGGACCGUAGUGUAUGUUUAAUGUCUCUCCCACAACCUGAGGGCGAAGCAGGAAAUUUUGGUGCAGCUGUUUUGGUGUGACUGUUAAUAUCAUGGUCCCAAGUAAAGAUCCGACCUUUCAUACUUUCUAUGUUUCAUGCUUUAAAUGUUCCCUCAGAAUUAAGGAUUAUAACAUUCUAAUACAAACCUGCCACAGGAUGGUUGAGGAUUGCGGCGAGAAGGGUUUGAACCCGGAACUUUCAAGAUCAUGCAUCUAGAGACAAUACCUUAUGACCAGGAAGCCAUCCAUAGUUCACAAUAUGUCAAUCAAUCAAUCUGACUAACCAUUUAAUGGUGAUGUUUUUGUUUCACAUCAUUUUCUUUGUCUUGUGCAUGUUUGUUUAUUAAGAGGCCCAUUUUUAUUUUAAAAGUAAGAACAAGGUCACAAAGACAGUUUGUGUGGAAACACAAACUCAAAAUCAGCCCCCGAAAUGGUCCACCCAGGCAGGUAAAUAGGCCGGUAUCAAUAUUUUCAGAAAGAAUAUCAGAAUUAAAUUCUAUUGAAGACAAAUGACAGAGAAGAAUGGAGAAAGAAGGUUGACAGAUCUUGUGUGGUGCCCCAGUGGUCCAGCAGCCAAAGGAUAGGUGUAAGUGAAUAUGAAAUUAAAUGCGAACCUUGCCUAACUGAUGACUUAUAAUGAAUAUCUAAUUGAUCUAAUUGUUUUGGGUCAAUCUCUUAAUCAAAUCCUCAAAAAAAGAAACAAAUACACUAAAUUUCGACCUACCUAAUCUAAUCUAUAUAUCUAGAUCAAAUUCUUCAUUAUUACUAUUUAUUUGUGAUAAAUUUUAGAAUAAUUAUAAAGUUUCUUCAGUAAUAAACAUUGUGGGUGUCUUGUGUCUAGCAUAGUCAUGGCAACGUUUUUUUUACAUUGUAAAAAAAAAAAAAGGAAAAAAUAAAUGUCUUAAAUAAAGCUUCUAAUUUCUAUGCAAACAAACUUUUAUAACUCUUUUAUAAAGUAAAAAUAGUUCCACUGUUGUUAGUUAAAAAUUUUUAUUUAAAAAUGCAACGAAACAAAGGUAGGGUAAGAACGUCUAUGGGAUAGAUGUUCCGUGUGUUUAGGGGCAGACAGACCGUCUAUGAGAUAGACGCUCCGCACUGAAUGAGUUAAAUUAUAGUCAGAAUAUCUCGUGCCAAAAUGACCCUUGCGCCAAAACGGUCAAACGUCACGUACCGACCUGAGGGCCCUAAAAUAAAAAAAAACCCACCUAAAUUUAUCUCUUUAAAUAACAAAACUUUUUAACAAAUCAGGUAAACCUAUUUUCAAACUCUACUUUUGUUUUAGUUGCAAAAAAAAAAAAAAAAAAAAAUGUGAAGGGAA
Biomphalaria glabrata is the source of this 5074-nucleotide long non-coding RNA. RefSeq lists it as uncharacterized. NCBI's taxonomy places the organism in Eukaryota, Metazoa, Mollusca, Gastropoda, Planorbidae. The record is from RefSeq and is a predicted model, not a curated record. The transcript is spliced from 2 exons.